UACGAAGGGGGCUAGCGUUGUUCGGAAUUACUGGGCGUAAAGCGCAUGUAGGCGGAUACUUAAGUUAGGGGUGAAAUCCCAGAGCUCAACUCUGGAACUGCCUUUAAUACUGGGUAUCUCGAGUCCGGAAGAGGUGAGUGGAAUUCCGAGUGUAGAGGUGAAAUUCGUAGAUAUUCGGAGGAACACCAGUGGCGAAGGCGGCUCACUGGACCGGUACUGACGCUGAGGUGCGAAAGCGUGGGGAGCAAACAGG
Molecule: ribosomal RNA, 253 nt
Filed under: uncultured bacterium
Lineage: Bacteria
Description: partial 16S ribosomal RNA
Rfam family: Bacterial small subunit ribosomal RNA
Source: RNAcentral